RNAcentral lists this ribosomal RNA (422 nucleotides) under uncultured Bacteroidales bacterium. RNAcentral's name for it is "partial 16S ribosomal RNA". It matches the Rfam family "Bacterial small subunit ribosomal RNA", at positions 355 to 774 of the family's 1533-position model. Lineage: Bacteria; Pseudomonadati; Bacteroidota; Bacteroidia; Bacteroidales. The record is from RNAcentral.
UGAGGAAUAUUGGUCAAUGGACGGAAGUCUGAACCAGCCAUGCCGCGUGCAGGAUGACGGCUCUAUGAGUUGUAAACUGCUUUUAUACGAGGGUAAAGUGGGCUACGUGUAGUCUUUUGAAAGUAUCGUAUGAAUAAGGAUCGGCUAACUCCGUGCCAGCAGCCGCGGUAAUACGGAGGAUUCGAGCGUUAUCCGGAUUUAUUGGGUUUAAAGGGUGCGUAGGCGGUAAUUUAAGUUAGUCGUUAAAUCGGAAGGCUCAACCUUCUCAUGGCGAUUAAUACUGGGUUACUGGAGAUUAGAUGCAGAGGGCGGAAUGUGUAGUGUAGCGGUGAAAUGCUUAGAUAUUACACAGAACACCGAUUGCGAAGGCAGCUCUCUAAUCUACAUCUGACGCUCAGGCACGAAAGCGUGGGGAUCAAACA